Molecule: non-coding RNA, 247 nt
Organism: Dermatophagoides farinae (American house dust mite)
Lineage: Eukaryota; Metazoa; Arthropoda; Arachnida; Sarcoptiformes; Pyroglyphidae
Source: RefSeq, a predicted model, not a curated record
UGUUGUUGUUGUUGUUUUAUAAACAAUCAAUCAAUCAAUUAAUUAUGAUCAACAUUCUAUAUGGAUUCUAUUCCCAGAUCAACAAUUAAAUCGUCAUCAUCAUCAUCAUCAUCACUCGGUUAUCAGUCAUAGAAUAUAACGAUAUUUUGUUCAUUAAAAUAUCGACCAAUUAUCGGUAUUCGUUCAUGGAAACGUACACCAAGUACGCUUAGGAAGCAGCCAAUCUAUUUCAAUAUUUAUGGAGCGA